RNAcentral lists this ribosomal RNA (250 nucleotides) under uncultured bacterium. RNAcentral's name for it is "partial 16S ribosomal RNA". It matches the Rfam family "Bacterial small subunit ribosomal RNA", at positions 525 to 775 of the family's 1533-position model. The record is from RNAcentral.
ACGUAGGUGGCAAGCGUUGUCCGGAAUUAUUGGGCGUAAAGCGCGCGCAGGCGGCUUCUUAAGUCCAUCUUAAAAGUGCGGGGCUUAACCCCGUGAUGGGAUGGAAACUGGGAGGCUGGAGUAUCGGAGAGGAAAGUGGAAUUCCUAGUGUAGCGGUGAAAUGCGUAGAGAUUAGGAAGAACACCAGUGGCGAAGGCGACUUUCUGGACGACAACUGACGCUGAGGCGCGAAAGCGUGGGGAGCAAACAG